Molecule: transfer RNA, 72 nt
Filed under: Ictidomys tridecemlineatus (thirteen-lined ground squirrel)
Lineage: Eukaryota; Metazoa; Chordata; Mammalia; Rodentia; Sciuridae
Description: Spermophilus tridecemlineatus (thirteen-lined ground squirrel) tRNA
Rfam family: tRNA
About the family: Transfer RNA (tRNA) molecules are approximately 80 nucleotides in length. Their secondary structure includes four short double-helical elements and three loops (D, anti-codon, and T loops).
Source: Rfam by way of RNAcentral
GGGGUUGUAGCUCAGUGGUACAGUGCUUGCCUAACAUGCAUGAGGCACUGGGUUUGAUUCUCAGCAACACAU